CACUUCAAAAUUUUUAUUUCUAAUGUAUCUGAUAGAUUUUUCUAGAAUUUUUCUUUUAAAGUUCCGCUCUUUUCAGGUUCUUAUCCAAUGUAAAUUAGUUUUUCACCCCAUGUAUGUUAUAGUUUUUUUUCUCCUCUUUGUGUAACUUAUAAGUGAUUAUUUUCAGUCGUUAUUCUUGUACUGUGUUUCAAUUGCUUUUAAUGUCGUUAACGUUUACUUUUUCCAAUUUUAAUUUUUCUAUGUUUUUUUUGGAACUUUAAAUUGCUUGUUAUUAAUCCUGUCUCUAGUUUAUACUAAGCUUUGUAGGACAAAUUUCUGCUCAAUAAACCGACAAAUCGAGAACAACCUGACGAAGUGAGAUGUUUGAUGUUUGGAAUCUGCCGGACUGAGAUGAAUCCAUUUUCUUUUAAAUUGCCUGCUAUGAAAUGAUGAAGCUAAAAAGGAUGAUUUUUUGAUAAUUGAAUCUUCAGCUUGUAUGCAGGACAAGAUGUGGCUUUCAUUUGCAAGAUAGGGCAGAGUUAUGACGUUAAUUAAGCAGCAUAAUGUGUUGCAACAUGGUUCUGAUAUGAUAGCCUAAGUGACAGACUUGCGCCACCUUUUAGAUUAUUCUAGACUUUCUUCUAAGCUUGUUUUAACGCCAUAGGAAGCUGGCAGCUCUCCACUAUCUCGAUCAAUAGCUCCAGAAAGGUCUACAGACACGAAAAGCGUGCAUUUAAGAGGCCUAGUUUCGAUAUACCUUUCUCCAACUUAUACCAACAAAAACGAUGUUAAAGUUGAUGCAAAUCCUACCGAAUGAUGAUGGGGAAAUUCGUUUGUCGGUAGCUGAAAUAUCCAUUAUGAAAAAGAUUCUAACGAUCCAUCUGUUAGUUUCAUCUCAAGAAGUUAAAGUUUUGCGAAAGAUCGUAAUCAAUGUUUGCGUAAUCACCGCAUGGUGUCUAAAAGUUGUCAAAUGAAGCUGUUUUCCACCAUUUACUCACCUGAUGUGUUUUGCAAAAAUGAUUAUAACUGAACUCACAAUAAUGCUGCUGAAGCCGGAACAAUGGAGGCCAGAAAAUGUCAAGCAGUUGUAUGUCAUGUGUCACACCUACGAAGGCAAAUAUUCAGAAUUGUCCAAUAUCUGUGGUUCCAUAUCAAUCGAUCAGGCUAUCAUAUUUUGCCGGAAAAGAAGACCUGCAGCUUGGUUGGGAGCCAACUGACUGCUGAUAGACAUUCCGCUGGUGAUUUAUCCGGAGAAUUAGAGCUCAAUCUAUGACUGGAUGACCUGACUCGCUUCAGAGAUGGAAAAGAAAAGAUAUUUUGUGGAACCAUAUAAGGUUCGUCUAGUGUAGAAGGAAAGAGGUGUGAUAUUGUUUUUAUGAUUGAAAUUGAAAAAAAAUAUGAAAAAUGCAAAUAAAG
This is a non-coding RNA of Parasteatoda tepidariorum (common house spider), 1395 nucleotides long. NCBI's taxonomy places the organism in Eukaryota, Metazoa, Arthropoda, Arachnida, Araneae, Theridiidae. The record is from RefSeq and is a predicted model, not a curated record.